GGGCGUAUAGUGUAGUGGUAGCAUGCUUCAUUUGGGUUGAAGAGGUCUCGGGUUCGAACCCCGAUUCGCCCC
Transfer RNA from Allomyces macrogynus ATCC 38327, 72 nucleotides. It matches the Rfam family "tRNA". From Rfam's summary of the family: Transfer RNA (tRNA) molecules are approximately 80 nucleotides in length. Their secondary structure includes four short double-helical elements and three loops (D, anti-codon, and T loops). Lineage: Eukaryota; Fungi; Blastocladiomycota; Blastocladiomycetes; Blastocladiales; Blastocladiaceae. The record is from Rfam.